RNAcentral lists this long non-coding RNA (3591 nucleotides) under Vigna radiata. RNAcentral describes it as "long non-coding RNA (VRAD_LNC009478)". Lineage: Eukaryota; Viridiplantae; Streptophyta; Magnoliopsida; Fabales; Fabaceae. The record is from RNAcentral.
CCCACUCUCAGGUCGCUAUCGUGAAUCUUGAGCAUCUGCUACACCCCCUGCUCCCGUAUAACCAAGGUCAUACGAUCAUCGCAAGACACACACAACCACAAGCACAAACAAAUAUGGGUAAGCCACCAUAACAAAACCAAUAACAAUAAAAUAAAAGGUGUACAAGAUAAGUAAACACAACAUAACAAUAACUCACUAUCUAUAAUGCUAUCUACAAACAGAAUCAUUAUGAUUUUAACAUUCUCUUUAACGAUAUCAUUACUAUACUAUCCACAUUUAUCCUUAUCAACAUCAUCUCUAGACACGAGUUAUUAUGAAUUCUCAACACUUUCAUGAAAGACAUUGGUUUAUCUCCUGUACCUAACCCUACCACCUGUAGCUUUCCCCAUACAGGUUCACGAACAUAACACCUGUAGCUUCCCCAUACAGGUUUAUAACCGUACUACCUGUAGCUUCCCCAUACAGGUUCAUAAUCACACUACCUGUAGCUUCCCCAUACAGGUUCACAAUCAUANNNNNNNNNNNNNNNNNNNNNNNNNNNNNNNNNNNNNNNNNNNNNNNNNNNNNNNNNNNNNNNNNNNNNNACAAUCAUACGGUAGAUAAUUCAUAAUUCAGGAUUUACUAGGUACAGGAUAGACACAUCUCUCUCCUCAAGUGUAUAAUACUAAUAAAGUCAAUCAAACUAAAUACUAUUCACACCUCUCUUUUCAUCACUUACACAUCAAUAUAAAGUCUUAUAUAAAAACAAUAUAAAUUUCUAUAAUAAUUUAAGAGUCACAACUCUAUCCAAAGUAAUAACUCAUUAUUACUUUAAUUAAUCAUUAAAAUCUCACUACUUCUAUUUUUGAAAGCAGAUUAAUUUCUAAUUCCAAAAUAAUUAUUUUAAAUUAUUUUGAUUAACAAUUCAUCUUCAAUUACCUUCCUUUUCAAAUCAAAUUAAUUUCUCUUUCCAAUAAAUUAAUUUGAUCACAAUUAAUUACCAAUUAAAUAAUAAUUAUUUUCUUCCUAUAAUUAUAACAAUUAAUAUUAUAGAUUAAUGAUUUCAUUUCUCCUUUUACACUUUAAUUUUAUUAAUUAAAGUCAAUAAUUAUGAAUUCAUUAUAAUUAUGUUCACGACAUAACUAACCCAAUUAAAUUCAGAUUAUCAUUGUUUAAGUUUCUGCUCAACAUUGGGCCGUCGUACCCAAAAUUGCCAGUCCAACUCCAAACUGUCCAAGCCAGAACCCAAUACUAGUAGUCUACAGGCCCAACGGCCCAAUAUUGCUUACCACCGCCAACCCUAGCUGCAGCCACCACGACUUCGCUGCCAACCACCACGCGUAACGGUUGCCGCUGCCCCCAAAACGACGGCGAGAAAUCUAACCGAAAACGAACCAGAAACGCCAUCCCCAUACACAGAAACAAAACACAAUUCCCUAAUUCAAAGUGAAUGAACCCUCUAUCUCAAAUCAGAAGAAAUCUCAGUAACCCCCCAAAAAUCAGAAUCAAAAAGGGAAACAGGAAAACCCAAAAUCUCCAACGAAACCCUAAUUGCAAACGUAGAGUCCUUCUCCGCGGAAUGCAGAAACCCUCGUCGCGCCUUCUUGCGUCGCCUUCGCACAAUAGCCGCGCCUUUCUGCGAGCCAACAUGAAGAGAAACGAGAAACCAAAACAGCCACGUCCUCGCGCAGUCGCCGUACGCUCUCCGCAACACACGCCACCACGAAAGAAAACACUGCGAGAAAGAGACGAGGGAGAGUCUGAAAUUUGAAUCCUCGCAGAAACGCCACCGACGCAGGACGCCCUCGCCGCGUCUCGCUCUCGCUACCAAAGUUGCGUCAGCCGCCGUGAAGAAAAGAAAAGAAGCCUAAAGCCUUUAGGUUUCGCGUGAUGAAGAAAGAAAAAGAAGAGAAUGGGAAAAAUUAGGGCAACUUGUGUGACCCUUCCAAAAGAAAAGGGCUGGACCCUAAAUUUUGGUUCAAGCCCAAUUCAAAACAGAAAGAGAAAGAAAACAACACUGGACUUAUGCAAACAAUUAACCCUAAUUUCAUUAACUCCCAUUAGUCUCUCAUUAAAAGGAUCUCCAAACCCUAAUUUUUAUCUUAAUUGUAAUUAAUUGAACCUUUUGAUCUCUUCUAAAAUAGAAUUCAAUACGUGAAUUCUUAUAAAAUUUAAUGAUGUGAAUUCUAAGAAUUCAUGUACAUAGAAUUCAAUUGCUUGAAUUCAAAAUGAUACACAAUAAACAAUGUAAUUUAUUUAUGAUUAAAAUCAUCAAUCAAAAUUCAAACAUUCUUCUAUCACAUCAAAGUAUUCAAUUAGUAUUCAAUCAAAUUAAUCACCAUUUAAACGCAAAGAUAGCUUUUUUAUGAUCAUAAAAUAUACUUAAAGAUAAUUUUCCACAUUGAUUAUACAAUAAAGAAAAAGUAAGCUUCCCAUACCUUAGCCGAUAAAAAAAAUUAAGCUUUCACCCCUUCUUCUACAGACUCUCCUUCCUUUCAGUCUCUCUGUCUAAUACUUUCUUUUUCCUCUUCUCACCAAAGUAACACAAAAGUAACGUAACUCUUUUUAUGUUUUCCGUUCUUUAUAAAUAAAAUUUAAAGUAACUGUUCUCCCUAAAAUCUUUCACUCCUAUUCCUAAAAUCUCUCCAGCACUAUUUUAAAAACACAACUGCUUUAUCUUUUAUUUUUCUAUUUAAUGUAUGACUUUACUUUCUAUACUCCUAUUUAUAACAUCUGCACCCCAAUUACAAAAAUAAAAAAAACAUUUUUACCCUUAAGCAUACAUAUCUACCAGUAAGCCAACACAUCACAUUACAAUAACAUAAUAAAAUAUAGAAUUUUCUCGGGUCUUACACAAAGGCAAAUCGUGUCUCUUUGUUCAUGUUUCGACUACCAUUUUCACUAGAACCAUGACUUUAAAUAUAGCAAAAACAAUAUGGGACUAUCUAAUGGAGGAAUACGCAGGAGGUGAUAAAAUUCGAGGCAUGCAAGUGUUGAAUUUGAUGAGGGAAUUUGAGCUUCAAAGGAUGAAAUAGUUUGAGACAAUUAAAGAAUACUCAGACAAAUUACUUGGCCUUGCUAACAAGGUCAGAUUACUUGGCACUAAUUUUUCUGAUUGCAGAAUUAUUGAAAAAAAAUCCUUGUAAGAGUGCCAGAAAGAUAUGAGACAUUCAUAACCACCUUAGAGAACACAAAGGAUCUGACCAAGAUCACUUUGGCGGAAGUGUUACAUGCCUUGCAGGCCCAAGAGCAACGAAGGCUUAUAAGGCAGGAACCUGUGGUUAAAGGUGCUUUACCAAUAAAGCAUCAUGUUGCUGGAACUAGUAAGAAGAAAAACUUCAAGAAGAAUCCGCCAACAAGCAGCGAAAACAUCAUGGACAAAGGCAAGGAUAGAAAGAAAAAUUAUCCAUCCUGUCAACAUUGCAGAAAAAUGGGACAUCCACCAUUUAGAUGUUGGAAAAGACCAAACGCGAAGUGCAGUAAAUGCAAUCAUCUUGGACAUGAAUUUAUAAUUUGUAGAAGCAAAUUUCAACAGCAUGAAGCCAUUGCCCAAGUUGUUGAGCAAGAUGAAGAAGGUCAUAUUUUUACUGCAGCAUGUUUUCCAACAAGGAG